GUAGGCUGCAACUCGCCUACAUGAAGUCGGAAUUGCUAGUAAUCGCGGAUCAGCAUGCCGCGGUGAAUACGUUCCCGGGCCUUGUACACACCGCCCGUCACACCAUGGGAGUCGGUAACACCCGAAGCCUGUAGUCUAACCGCAAGGGGGACGCAGUCGAAGGUGGGAUUGAUGACUGGGGUGAAGUCGUAACAAGGUAAC
This 201-nucleotide ribosomal RNA is filed under the name uncultured bacterium. RNAcentral's name for it is "partial 16S ribosomal RNA". It matches the Rfam family "Bacterial small subunit ribosomal RNA", at positions 1300 to 1500 of the family's 1533-position model. The record is from RNAcentral.